AACACAUGCAAGUCGAACGGACCUUAUCAAAGAGCUUGCUUUGAGAUAAGGUUAGUGGCGGACGGGUGAGUAACGCGUGGGUAACCUACCUAUAAGAGGGGGACAACAGAGGGAAACUUCUGCUAAUACCGCAUAAUACUAUCGAGACACAUGUAUUGAUAUUCAAAGAUUAAUCGCUUAUAGAUGGACCCGCGUCUGAUUAGCUAGUUGGUAGGGUAACGGCCUACCAAGGCGACGAUCAGUACCCGGCCUGAGAGGGUGAUCGGCCACACUGGGACUGAGACACGGCCCACACUCCUACGGGAGGCAGCAGUGGGGAAUCUUCCGCAAUGGGCGCAAGCCUGACGGAGCAACGCCGCGUGAGUGAUGAAGGUUUUCGGAUCGUAAAGCUCUGU
This 395-nucleotide ribosomal RNA is filed under the name uncultured bacterium. RNAcentral's name for it is "bacterial SSU rRNA". It matches the Rfam family "Bacterial small subunit ribosomal RNA", at positions 50 to 436 of the family's 1533-position model. The record is from RNAcentral.